RNAcentral lists this small RNA (24 nucleotides) under Arabidopsis thaliana (thale cress). Its description in RNAcentral is "ATSL239800". Lineage: Eukaryota; Viridiplantae; Streptophyta; Magnoliopsida; Brassicales; Brassicaceae. The record is from RNAcentral.
AUCAACAACAAGAACAACAAAAAU